AGCUAAGUUUGUUAUUGGUAUGAGCUUUCAUGUGCAUGCACACUUAUCUGAAGAAGUGUGCAUGCACACGAAAGCUCAUACCAAUAACAAACUUAGUUGG
Non-coding RNA from Podarcis lilfordi (Lilford's wall lizard), 100 nucleotides. The record is from the annotation of a GenBank genome assembly. Lineage: Eukaryota; Metazoa; Chordata; Lepidosauria; Squamata; Lacertidae.